This is a long non-coding RNA of Stylophora pistillata, 3070 nucleotides long. RefSeq lists it as uncharacterized. The record is from RefSeq and is a predicted model, not a curated record. Lineage: Eukaryota; Metazoa; Cnidaria; Anthozoa; Scleractinia; Pocilloporidae.
UGGCGCGAUUGUUGCACGUUAAGAAACACGACUCCCGACAUGCCGUUCGUGUGAAAAUGGCAGCGAAGCAAAUACCAUUUGGGCGAUGAAGAAGACUCUCAAAAUUGUUGCUACUAUGGGAUUUAUCAGAGGCUGGAGUUGGGAGACUCGCAAGAUCCUUACAGCACGUUCCGGCUUUAAAGGAGAAAGAUGUUCUUACUUUAUUAAUUGAGCAAUAAUGGAUGCUAUGAUGAUGAUGAAGAUGAAGUGAACCAGAGCCCAAGUGAUCAGGAUGUAGCAGCAGUCUUAAUGCUAUGAUUGUUUUACUUUGCAAUCCAACUGCUGAAUGAACAAGGAUUCUAGGCAAAGGUCACUCGUUUAUCACUUUUAUUACUGACGUCUGACAGAUGGACAUGUGACUGGUCUAAAAUCAAGCCAGUGGACAAGGAAUUGGAUUGAAAUCAAAGUGGAAAAUGGACAAGUGGCUGGAUUUAAAUCAAGUUUACAUGUUUUAAAGGUAGAAUCUUGAAUUGGGACAGUUUGGAGAUAAACGUUCAUAGGCUGCGAAGCUGCACUUUAAACGCAAUAUUUUUUUUCUAGUUACAAAUCAAUUUUAAGAGUUUGGGAUGAAAAUUUGCGAUUUAUCAAACAAAUUUGAUUGGAUUCGUUUUCAAAAAUUAUCAGCCUCUCAGGCAGGAAUUUUGUUUUAAUUUAGCUUUUUCGUCUUCUUCGAUUAUUCACUGGCCAGAUUUAAGUUUUCAAAUGACGUUUGUUUCAAAACUGGCCUCAGUGAGGACUUUCUCAAUAUCGUUUAAGCAUCAAGACACAGAAUUAUGAAAACAAACUGAACAAACCGAUUAAAAUUGCGGUUUUUUCAAAUACGAGCUAGCAGUCCUUACAAUAACGAAUGACGUAAAUUAUCUACCUUUAAAAAACAAAUCCCGGAAAGUUUUCAAAAUAAUUGGAGAACUAAGUGAGAUCAAAAUGUUUUGGAUAAAUCACGAGAAUAAACGACGAAAGAAGGAAUUUGUGGAUAUGAAUUUUCAGAGUUUUGUUCACAAGGUCACGAUUACUAAAUGUAAACUGUCUUCCGCGGUCGUAUUCAGUCCUGAAGGAAUUUUAUCUCUUGUUUUUGGUAUUAAGCAUCGUUCAGACGGCACUUUUAUACACAAUUUGUGACUCGUGAAAAUGUCCGUAUUUCAAAUCUUUGAUCUGUUUUAUCCAAAAGUAAAAAGUGUAUACUGUGCACCUUCGCUUUUGUUUUUUAAAGAUAAAUAUUCAGUUUCAUAUCUAUUAAGAAAAACAAUCACCUGAUUACAAUUCCGAGUCAAAGUUUAGCUAUUUUUGCGAAACUCAAUAAUUUUUUUUAUUCUAUCACCCCGCGAGUAUGUUUUUUUGUCAUUUUUCUUUGCCUUCCAAGCCCCUAUCAAAAUUGUUUAAUUUUCCCGCCAAAAAACUAAGGAAAAAUACGGGCGCUUGAAACACGCAUGCGCCAUUUUUUUUUUGUUUUGAAAACUCUGUAAGUAACAUCCUUUCAAAAAGAUUCAGUUUUGGAAAAAAUACAGGCGCCCAAAAUGCGCAUGCGCCGUCUUUUUUUUUUUUUAGAGUGUAAAUAAAAUGAAUUUGUUAGUUUUCUCACUUGAUGUAUAUUAUUUAAUAGAGAUCAAUAAACACUGCAAUGUGCAUUUUUUCAUGUCUUUAUUUCGUUCAAUAAAUUACAAGUAACUUUCAAGUGUUCUUUAAUUAGUUAAGUGAUUUCCAUUAAAUAUCAAGAAAAACACGUUUAAAUACAUACUAAGACUUUUGGCGGGAAAAUGUGGAGCAAUUUGCACAAAGUUUCCCCGGAUAACAUUUUCGACAAAAAAUUCAAAAUGGUUUCCCUUGAAAUUUUCCGCCAAAAGAUGAACAGAACCUCGUACAAAACUUUCUUCGAAAAAUGGUUGCCCAGUUUCAGCAUUUUAUUUUAAGAAUAAAGUCUUGUACAAGGUUGUUUGUUUGCAUUUUUUUUUUCGGCCACCUUCGACAAGGCACAAAAUACAAAGAUUUUAGUCUUUCCGAAGAAAAUAUUUCCAUCAAAUAAUGAAAAGUGGGUUGUGGAUUCUCAAAAAGCUACUUUAAGAAGUUUCUACCGAUCAGUUCGAAUGUAGCCGUCUGUAUUUUGCCCAGUGUUUACAUACCACGAAGGAAAUGGCGAAAAAAUUAGUUAAAUAACGGGGCAAGUUAAAAUAUUUUACUGAAGUUGACUCAAAAUAAAAUUCGUCUCUUAAUUUUUAUCAAAAUCCACCAAACAGACUGAAAUUUUCAAAUUGUAUCUCAAGUUAACAUUGACUUGCCAUGUUCCUCAAGAUUAUACCUGCACACCGUAAGUAAAGAGGCGAGACAACUCUGUUCCAAAUUAUUCUGCUCUUAGCUUGGUAGGAUAUCAAGACAAUUCGUCCGUGUUCGAUUAGGAUUUUGUUUUACAAAGCCGGGAGAAUUUAAAAUAAUUGGAAAUUCCUUGUUGAUAAUAUCAAUGGUUGUCGAUACAAUUGUCUGAAUGUUUUUUUGGUAGAAAUUCCGAGGUCUGUGGUCAUCAUUAAUCAACAAUUGUCAGUUUUGCUUUAAUUUGGAAUAUAUAGUUAUGACAAUUCAUGAAUGCACAGUACAAGUUUUGAUUAACACGAAAGAAUUUAUUAAAUUAAAUUCCCCAAAGGAUUUUUAAUCACUGGUGGUUAAUUUGAAUAUUAUAUUUUUGUAUCGAAAAGAUGUCUUGCAACGUUACCUCCAAACCUAUACUAGUCGCUCUCAUUUGGGGAUUCGCAUGUACUGUAAUCCUUUUUUAAGCCCGAGAGAAUUCAUCUAUUUGGAUAGUAAUUUUCAUAGUUUGCCAAUCUUAAAAUCUUUGUUUGGUUACUGCUUCAGAUAGAUGUCUCGCCUCUUUCUCUUCCAGUAUGUAGGAACAUCAACUAACAUAACCAAUAUAGUUCUCAAAAAAUUAAAUGCUGGUCCCUGUAUCAUUUUUUUUUUGCAGCACCGAGAGUUCAAAUUCUCUAUCAUUUUACUUGUCUAAUUAUUCGAAAUGUCAAAUUAUGAUGUUAGUUUGUUUGGAAAG